ACGAAUGCGCACGCUUUUGCGCAACUAACUCACUUAACGCCGUCAAAGUACACGUCAUAUAGCUUUGACAAAGAUUGGAAUAUUCUUUUAUGAACCGCGUCAGAAGUCGGUACGAACAGAAAAAAUCCAGUUAGCCUAACUUAACGGCGUGUUUGAACCUAAAAAAGAACAAAUCCAGUACGACAAGUCGUACUGGCGAGUAGGUGACGAGCGGACCACGCAACGAAGAUUAUUAUUAUUUAAAUUAAGGCUGAAAAAACGACAACAAAUAAUGUAAUUUACUAGAAUAGACAUGAUGAUGGUGUGACUGUUGUAUAUAUAGGUAGUGUAAGACUCUGCUCGUUUAUCCAAUCUGUUUCCCUUUCGCCCUUUCUUUUUAGUUUCUUCAAUUCCACUAAGCACUUACUGCACCCUGCUGGUGGCUACAGCGUCGCUUUUGCUAGAAAAGUGAUUUUACUUGUAUGGCAGCUAAUUCGAAGAGCACUCGAGAGAUCGCUACCUUGGGGAAACGACUGGCUAACCAUAUCUUCAAGCGCGAUCCUUCUGCCACUGCCAGGUUUGUCCUUAAUUAUUGUAGAUUCUUCUGCUACGAUUUCAGAAUCAAUUUUUAUAUGAUCUGAUCUCAGCCGUUGAUCAGUCAUACUUUUUUUUUACUUAAAAAAAAAA
Molecule: long non-coding RNA, 666 nt
Filed under: Citrus sinensis (sweet orange)
Lineage: Eukaryota; Viridiplantae; Streptophyta; Magnoliopsida; Sapindales; Rutaceae
Description: long non-coding RNA (CSIN_LNC005671)
Source: RNAcentral